RNAcentral lists this unclassified non-coding RNA (259 nucleotides) under uncultured fungus. Its description in RNAcentral is "sequence contains ITS1". The stretch from base 1 to 107 matches the Rfam family "5.8S ribosomal RNA", at positions 50 to 154 of the family's 154-position model. The record is from RNAcentral. Lineage: Eukaryota; Fungi.
GAAAUGCGAUACUUGGUGUGAAUUGCAGAAUCCCGUGAACCAUCGAGUCUUUGAACGCAAGUUGCGCCCGAAGCCAUUAGGCCGAGGGCACGCCUGCCUGGGUGUCACACAUCGUUUCCCCAACGCAAACAUGUAACAAUGUUGCUGCGCGGGGUGUAUGCUGACCUCCCGCGAGCACCCGCCUAUGCGAUACGUAGUGUGAAUUGCAGAAUUCAGUGAAUCAUCGAAUCUUUGAACGCACAUUGCGCCCGCUAGUAUU